RNAcentral lists this ribosomal RNA (1467 nucleotides) under Salmonella enterica subsp. enterica serovar Javiana. Its description in RNAcentral is "partial 23S ribosomal RNA". It matches the Rfam family "Bacterial large subunit ribosomal RNA", at positions 1 to 1503 of the family's 2925-position model. Lineage: Bacteria; Pseudomonadati; Pseudomonadota; Gammaproteobacteria; Enterobacterales; Enterobacteriaceae. The record is from RNAcentral.
GGGUUGUGAGGUUAAGCGACUAAGCGUACACGGUGGAUGCCCUGGCAGUCAGAGGCGAUGAAGGACGUGCUAAUCUGCGAUAAGCGCCGGUAAGGUGAUAUGAACCGUUAUAACCGGCGAUUUCCGAAUGGGGAAACCCAGUGUGACUCGUCACACUAUCAUUAACUGAAUCCAUAGGUUAAUGAGGCGAACCGGGGGAACUGAAACAUCUAAGUACCCCGAGGAAAAGAAAUCAACCGAGAUUCCCCCAGUAGCGGCGAGCGAACGGGGAGGAGCCCAGAGCCUGAAUCAGCAUGUGUGUUAGUGGAAGCGUCUGGAAAGGCGCGCGAUACAGGGUGACAGCCCCGUACACAAAAGCGCAUGUGCUGUGAGCUCGAUGAGUAGGGCGGGACACGUGGUAUCCUGUCUGAAUAUGGGGGGACCAUCCUCCAAGGCUAAAUACUCCUGACUGACCGAUAGUGAACCAGUACCGUGAGGGAAAGGCGAAAAGAACCCCGGCGAGGGGAGUGAAAAAGAACCUGAAACCGUGUACGUACAAGCAGUGGGAGCACCCUUUGGGGUGUGACUGCGUACCUUUUGUAUAAUGGGUCAGCGACUUAUAUUCUGUAGCAAGGUUAACCGAAUAGGGGAGCCGGAGGGAAACCGAGUCUUAAUUGGGCGUUAAGUUGCAGGGUAUAGACCCGAAACCCGGUGAUCUAGCCAUGGGCAGGUUGAAGGUUGGGUAACACUAACUGGAGGACCGAACCGACUAAUGUUGAAAAAUUAGCGGAUGACCUGUGGCUGGGGGUGAAAGGCCAAUCAAACCGGGAGAUAGCUGGUUCUCCCCGAAAGCUAUUUAGGUAGCGCCUCGUGAACUCAUCUCCGGGGGUAGAGCACUGUUUCGGCUAGGGGGCCAUCCCGGCUUACCAACCCGAUGCAAACUGCGAAUACCGGAGAAUGUUAUCACGGGAGACACACGGCGGGUGCUAACGUCCGUCGUGAAGAGGGAAACAACCCAGACCGCCAGCUAAGGUCCCAAAGUCAUGGUUAAGUGGGAAACGAUGUGGGAAGGCCCAGACAGCCAGGAUGUUGGCUUAGAAGCAGCCAUCAUUUAAAGAAAGCGUAAUAGCUCACUGGUCGAGUCGGCCUGCGCGGAAGAUGUAACGGGGCUAAACCAUGCACCGAAGCUGCGGCAGCGACACUCAGGUGUUGUUGGGUAGGGGAGCGUUCUGUAAGCCUGCGAAGGUGGCCUGUGAGGGUUGCUGGAGGUAUCAGAAGUGCGAAUGCUGACAUAAGUAACGAUAAAGCGGGUGAAAAGCCCGCUCGCCGGAAGACCAAGGGUUCCUGUCCAACGUUAAUCGGGGCAGGGUGAGUCGACCCCUAAGGCGAGGCCGAAAGGCGUAGUCGAUGGGAAACGGGUUAAUAUUCCCGUACUUGGUGUUACUGCGAAGGGGGGACGGAGAAGGCUAUGUUGGCCGGGCGACGGUU